AAAAAACCAAGUAAAGAACGUUUAAGUAUUCAAUAUAAAUCAAAGCAGGUUAUUUCUGAUUAGUAUUUCGAGUUAUUUUAUAUAGGCGUUGAUAACCUUUGGUGACCCCACAGUUUAAAAGUCAAUUAUAAGGACGUCGUGAGCUAUGGGCGUUACAAACGAAAGUUCACCUAAUCCGUCCCAGUCAGUAGGCUAUUAAAGAGCGCCAAUCAAUGGUCGUGGCUACACUGUUAUGCAUUUGAUUCUAUGUUAUAUAUUAAACUCUUAUGUAAAGUGUUAUAAAAGUAAAAGUACACAUAAAAUAACAGAUUUAAAGCCCAGGUCAUCCAAACAAAAAUGCAAUAUUUACCAUGGAAGAACAACAUAUUUUUGAUCUAAUGACCAGUUUUGUGACUACCAUGGUCUGAAAAAAUAAUCUUCAGUGUCAGAUUGCGUGUUGUCUAGUUUAGUGUCAGUUUUCAGCAUUCCCUGAAUCGUUAUAAUUGUUUGCUUUGGAAAAAUUGAAAGUUUCUUAGAAAGACACAAAUCUGAUAUGAAUUCACUUCCUUUCUUUUCAUAAACAUACGAACAUUUUGGAGAUAUAUUUGCAUGUAUUGCCCAAAUGUUUUCAAUUUUUGGAAUGUGAAAGAGUCUAAUACAACAUUUAAAGCACUGAAUUAUAUUUGCCACAACACAAUAAAAUCCGGCUUCUGCCAAUUGUUUUACACCCAAUGCACUUAUUUUACUUCCACAUGCUUUAAAGGUUAGUAUUCUAGAUUCUAAAGUGCAAU
Molecule: long non-coding RNA, 770 nt
Filed under: Mytilus galloprovincialis (Mediterranean mussel)
Lineage: Eukaryota; Metazoa; Mollusca; Bivalvia; Mytilida; Mytilidae
Source: RNAcentral